GAUGAACGCUGGCGGCGUGCUUAACACAUGCAAGUCGAACGAAACACCUUAUUUGAUUUUCUUCGGAACUGAAGAUUUGGUGAUUGAGUGGCGGACGGGUGAGUAACGCGUGGGUAACCUACCCUGUACAGGGGGAUAACAGUCAGAAAUGACUGCUAAUACCGCAUAAGACCACAGCACCGCAUGGUGCAGGGGUAAAAACUCCGGUGGUACAGGAUGGACCCGCGUCUGAUUAGCUGGUUGGUGAGGUAACGGCUCACCAAGGCGACGAUCAGUAGCCGGCUUGAGAGAGUGAACGGCCACAUUGGGACUGAGACACGGCCCAAACUCCUACGGGAGGCAGCAGUGGGGAAUAUUGCACAAUGGGGGAAACCCUGAUGCAGCGACGCCGCGUGAGUGAAGAAGUAUCUCGGUAUGUAAAGCUCUAUCAGCAGGGAAGAAAAUGACGG
This 449-nucleotide ribosomal RNA is filed under the name uncultured bacterium. Its description in RNAcentral is "bacterial SSU rRNA". It matches the Rfam family "Bacterial small subunit ribosomal RNA", at positions 28 to 457 of the family's 1533-position model. The record is from RNAcentral.